Molecule: non-coding RNA, 1812 nt
Organism: Lolium perenne
Lineage: Eukaryota; Viridiplantae; Streptophyta; Magnoliopsida; Poales; Poaceae
Source: RefSeq, a predicted model, not a curated record
UGAAAACCCUAGAUCGACAUCGUCGCACGCCCGUGGUGAAAAAGUCCCCCAAUCAUGGCUUCUCUUGUUUGCCAAUGGGGGCGGCGAGAGGAUACGGGAGAAGGAGGGAGGCGGAGAUGCACCGGCCACCUGCAAAAGGGGAGGAGCAAAGCCGGUCGGCUGCUGCGGAGGCCUGAAGGUUGCCGCUGCUCGUCCCUCGGGCAGCCGCCGCCGCCGUCCUCGGGCUCCGGCGCCAUUCGGGAGAUUGAGGCGGCGGUCGGCCAGCUUAUGGGUCCAACCUUCUCGCCUGUCCCAAAUCUUCUGCCCGGCGGCUUGUCUCGUCUGCGCCCCCAGGCACCACGGCGUUGGGGAUGGAGCACGCAACCACGUGCACUUGCUUGAGAGCGAGCUCGGCCGAUGCCUAUGAUGCCCACCUCCGCUCUUGGAGAUUAGACUAGCUAAUCGGUAGCUACUAUCAAGAUGUUCACGCUGUGAGCAGAAGCCAAAGCAAUCAUUACAAGAAAGGGGAUGUCCUCAGGAAGCUCAAGAAGUUGUUUGCAGACCAUGAGCUUGUAUGGAUAUAACUAGAAUCUGAAUAACAAAGGAGGGAAUUGAAAAGGUUCUCAAGGCUGGUGCUAAUGUUGUAUUUACCAGUGGUGGCGAAGCCAGCACCCACAGGUGUUUAACGGUCUUCUCAGCAGAAGUGGUAAAACAUAAGCUUUAUCAUUUCCAGUUCGAAUUAUCCCUAAAUCUGACAACCCACUUAUUUAGACUGUUCUGGGUGUUAAAUAACAUGUUUCAGCAUCAUUAUUAAUUGUUAAGGAUGGCUUUACAACACUAGACGUAUUAGCAACAGGAUGGCCAGUUGCAGCAUGUUAUACUCUGUGCAGUUCUUCUAUGUGCAGAUUACUGCCUCAUAUUGCUUCAAACUUCUGCAUAGGGUUUUGUUGACGGAGCUCACUGAAAAUAUUUGUUCUCACCUGCAGCAACGCCUAUUAGAUAUUUUUCAAAAGAAAAAGCAAUUGCCUUUCAGUUAAACUAGGAAUCAUUUAAUAAUUGGAGGCUUUUAUCUACAUAUGUCGACGUAAGGGGUUAGAAGAAGCAGGACAUCUUGGACACUGAAUGACUUUAUAUCGUGUUCAUCUCCUGUCGCCAUCCUUUCUUGCUUGAUGUUCCAUUUUUAGUGCAUGCCAUAUGUCCGAUAAAAUGCCUGGGAGAAGCACCACUAGCAUGGUUCCUAAUGCAUGUGUGUCCAAGACUAUGUUCCUAACUUUGGCUCCUUGUCAGCUUCACAUAUCGGCUUUACAAUCAGGCUAUUAAGUGCUUACUUCUCCAAGUUCAAUCCAUGGUGCAGAAAAGAAAAGUUAUUUAGUUAGUUUUAAUGGAUACAAACCAUAUGUCCGGUGCAUUCUCUAUAAAACUAGGUCAAGUAAUAAUGUCUCAUGUUGCGUUGUUUCAGUUCCUGAGGAUCCUGGAGAGGGAGCUGGCUGUAACUGAGAAGAUCAAAGAGUAUUUCUUUGCAGACUUCACCCAGGAAUUGGUACUGAGCUGGAUGCUGAAGCACUUAAUUACCGUAUGUCGAGUGGUUCAAGAGACAGAAGAUGUACCUCAAAGAAUCUGUCCCAAAAACUGACAGUUGCUUGAAGCAUUUCUUGUUCAUGACACCUUCAUGAUAGGACCAUUAUCGGGUUGAAAUAUCUGGUAGACUAUCAGGUUGCCCCCUCAGUUCUUCUGUUAGCUGCUCUUAGAUAAGGCCUUCAAGCCUCAAGUAUCUCUCUCACACACUGAGUCCAUCUGUUUGUUUUCCUGAGGUGAGGUCUUCAAGCCCCUGUU